CUAAGCAGUGAUGUGGAGCAAAUCCCCAAAAGCAGUCUUAGUUCGGAUUGUAGGCUGCAACCCGCCUACAUGAAGUCGGAAUUGCUAGUAAUCGCGGAUCAGCAUGCCGCGGUGAAUACGUUCCCGGGCCUUGUACACACCGCCCGUCACACCAUGGGAGUUGGUAACACCCGAAGUCAGUAGCCUAACCGCAAGGAGGGCGCUGCCGAAGGUGGGAUCGAUGACUGGGGUGAAGUCGUAACAAGGUAUC
Molecule: ribosomal RNA, 250 nt
Filed under: uncultured bacterium
Lineage: Bacteria
Description: partial 16S ribosomal RNA
Rfam family: Bacterial small subunit ribosomal RNA
Source: RNAcentral